Molecule: transfer RNA, 66 nt
Filed under: Chrysis horridula
Lineage: Eukaryota; Metazoa; Arthropoda; Insecta; Hymenoptera; Chrysididae
Description: tRNA-Ile
Source: RNAcentral
AAUAAAGUGCCUGAUUAAAGGAUUAUUUCGAUAAAAUAAAAUAUAUGUAAAUUUACAUCUUUAUUA